GGGUUCCUUCGAGUGUAAACUAUGCCAUAUGUUUCUACCGACCUCGUACAGUUUCGGCGUCCACAACCUCAUACACACGCGUCGGUACGAAUGCUUGGAGUGCGGUCGGAUUAUGAUCGACCGGCGGUCUAUACUCGACCACUAUAGGAGCCAACACGAAGGACUGACGACUACUUAUAAAUGCGACUUAUGCGGGAAAGUUUCAACCAACAGCAAGACUCACCGAGGCCAUAUGAGGAACCACCACAGCGGCGACCGACCCAAAUGCGACCAGUGUGGGAAGAGCUUCGUGAAUAAGGACGCGCUCUGCGAACA
Molecule: long non-coding RNA, 315 nt
Organism: Ostrinia nubilalis (European corn borer)
Lineage: Eukaryota; Metazoa; Arthropoda; Insecta; Lepidoptera; Crambidae
Exons: 3
Source: RefSeq, a predicted model, not a curated record